RNAcentral lists this microRNA precursor (51 nucleotides) under Marmota monax (woodchuck). Lineage: Eukaryota; Metazoa; Chordata; Mammalia; Rodentia; Sciuridae. The record is from RNAcentral.
UUUUUAGCAUAAGUAUUUCCCAAGCAAUAUUUUGGACAUAGUUAUACAAAA